GGAGGGCUACGCUAAUUGGCAAGCGGACGGUCUUGAAAACCGUUGUCCGAAAGGACUUGUGGGUUCGAGUCCCACGCCCUCCG
RNAcentral lists this transfer RNA (83 nucleotides) under Actinomycetota bacterium. RNAcentral describes it as "tRNA-Ser". It matches the Rfam family "tRNA". Rfam says of the family: Transfer RNA (tRNA) molecules are approximately 80 nucleotides in length. Their secondary structure includes four short double-helical elements and three loops (D, anti-codon, and T loops). Lineage: Bacteria; Bacillati; Actinomycetota. The record is from RNAcentral.